CGCCGGGGCCGCCGGCGCCGAGCGGGGAGAUCCCGGCAGCCGACGGAAGGGGAGACCCCGCUCGACACCCGGGGAUCCCCCUGCAGCAUCACAGCCCCCCUCCUCCGUUGCGGCUGGAGGAGAGGGGGGGGAGAGGAGGGCAUCCCCGGCCCCCGGCGGGGGGCUGCUUCCACCGCCGACGCAGGAAGGAGCGGAGGAUGGGGAUGAAGGAUGCCGGGAGAGGCGGCGGUUUCUGGGCUGCAAGAAAGACGGGAAGCGACAAGCUUUUUUUUUACCCUACACUCUUGGUGCCCUGGGAUUUCUGGCACAACGCACUAGAAACAACCCCUCCGAGACGUGCUCUUGAGUAAAAACCUGUCUGCAGGGCAGUGCGUUCGCAUAUCUGCCCCUUAGGAGGAACAAAGGGUCUAAAAAUAAAAUGCAAUAACAUUAAAUAAAUUAUUCAAUUAAAAUAAUAAAAUAAGAUUCAAA
Long non-coding RNA from Pipra filicauda (Wire-tailed manakin), 471 nucleotides. RefSeq lists it as uncharacterized. The transcript has 2 exons. The record is from RefSeq and is a predicted model, not a curated record. Lineage: Eukaryota; Metazoa; Chordata; Aves; Passeriformes; Pipridae.